Molecule: microRNA precursor, 75 nt
Filed under: Myotis lucifugus (little brown bat)
Lineage: Eukaryota; Metazoa; Chordata; Mammalia; Chiroptera; Vespertilionidae
Description: mir-9229 microRNA precursor family
Rfam family: mir-9229 microRNA precursor family
Source: Rfam by way of RNAcentral
AGACACCCUUGUGGGGCAAGACUUGCUUCAGUGGGGCUUUGGUGCUCACUGAGUCUGCCCCCUGAGUGUGUCCCU